GAUGAAGAACUAGCGAAAUGCGAUAAGUAGUGUGAAUUGCAGAAUUCAGUGAAUCAUCGAAUCUUUGAACGCACAUUGCGCCCCUUGGUAUCCCGAGGGGCAUGCCUGUUCGAGCGUCAUUUCACCACUCAAGCCUGGCUUGGUGUUGGGCGACGUCCCCUUUGGGGACGCGCCUCGAAACGCUCGGCGGCGUGGCACCGGCUUUAAGCGUAGCAGAAUCUUUCGCUUUGGAAGUCGGGGCCCCGUCUGCCGGAAGACCUACUCGCAAGGUUGACCUCGGAUCAGGCAGGGAUACCCGCUGAACUUAAGCAUAUCAAUAAGCGGAGGA
RNAcentral lists this unclassified non-coding RNA (328 nucleotides) under soil metagenome. RNAcentral's name for it is "partial contains 5.8S ribosomal RNA, internal transcribed spacer 2, and large subunit ribosomal RNA". The stretch from base 1 to 119 matches the Rfam family "5.8S ribosomal RNA", at positions 35 to 154 of the family's 154-position model. The record is from RNAcentral.